UUUGGCUCGAAUCGGGGAGGGCAGCUACUGUAGCACUGUGAUCUGCUCAGAUAGCUUUUAGUAAGGAGCCCAAGGCACAGAAGGAACCCCGCCGUGUCUUUCGUGAGGCUGUGCGCCCCCUAGUGGGCAAGUGGGCUAACUGUGGUCACAGGUGAGGCCGAGACACCACGCUGAGAGCAGCGACAGGGCGUUCAACACACGCCCAUCUGAUACCUGAGUCAAACAGCUGGGACUGUCCCCCUAGAUACCCCUUGAGACCCCCAAGCCUCCUCUCUCUGGACGUGUAUGGUCAAGCAAAGGGUUGGGGGGCAGCUGCAGGUGGCCACUCCGUUCACCAUCCGCUCGGACGCCCAGGCAGCUCGCUGCCGUCCUCCAUCGCUCGUCACUCUCUCUCUCCCGCCUUCCGCUGCCUCGGGGAGGAAUCGCUGACGCUUUGGCUCCGUUGCCACGGCGAUCGCAGCGAGCCUCUAUCAAGGUACUGUACCACUCUGCACCAGUGGGCCCUACCAGUGAGCUGUACCAGUGUCCUGUACCAGUCUGCACCAGUGAGCUGUACCAGUGUCCUGAACCAGUCUGCACCAGUGAGCUGUACCAGUGUCC
Molecule: long non-coding RNA, 600 nt
Filed under: Lepisosteus oculatus (spotted gar)
Lineage: Eukaryota; Metazoa; Chordata; Actinopteri; Semionotiformes; Lepisosteidae
Description: lncRNA (ENSLOCG00000022375.1)
Source: RNAcentral